AAAUACCUAAUAUAUGUCGGAAAAUGCUUCUAAGCAUUAUGAAAUAUUUCUAAUCCUGUCAAAAAGAACAUCCACAAACCCAAAGUCUUUCUAGACUCAAAUUCACAAAUCAUAUCUGUAUCAACAACAAAAGAAUAAAAAUAAGUACUGAACAAAUGUAGACAAUCAGUAAAGCCCAAUGACACCCAGAUUUUUCCAGCAAGAAAUUCCAAAUAAUAAACAGAUUGCUCAUCAAUAAAGAGUUUAAC
Molecule: long non-coding RNA, 248 nt
Filed under: Vitis vinifera (wine grape)
Lineage: Eukaryota; Viridiplantae; Streptophyta; Magnoliopsida; Vitales; Vitaceae
Description: long non-coding RNA (VVIN_LNC007606)
Source: RNAcentral